UACGGGGGGGGCAAGCGUUGUUCGGAAUUACUGGGGGUAAAGGGCUCGUAGGCGGCCAACUAAGUCAGACGUGAAAUCCCUCGGCUUAACCGGGGAACUGCGUCUGAUACUGGAUGGCUUGAGAUUGGGAGAGGGAUGCGGAAUUCCAGGUGUAGCGGUGAAAUGCGUAGAUAUCUGGAGGAACACCGGUGGCGAAGGCGGCAUCCUGGACCAACACUGACGCUGAGGAGCGAAAGCCAGGGGAGCAAACGGG
RNAcentral lists this ribosomal RNA (253 nucleotides) under uncultured bacterium. Its description in RNAcentral is "partial 16S ribosomal RNA". It matches the Rfam family "Bacterial small subunit ribosomal RNA", at positions 524 to 776 of the family's 1533-position model. The record is from RNAcentral.